Molecule: long non-coding RNA, 2007 nt
Organism: Esox lucius (northern pike)
Lineage: Eukaryota; Metazoa; Chordata; Actinopteri; Esociformes; Esocidae
Source: Ensembl
AUGUUUUUCUAGACUUGCAGCCCAGCCUGCUCAACCUGUUCACAUAGUUUUCCUUCUCAGAAAUCUUCCUUGCAAAUCUGUGCAGGGAGUUCCUUCAUUUGUUUUUCAACGUAGAUAAUGUUUGUUCAUUUGUUUAGGAUUUAGUCACUUUCUGCUGUGUUUUCAGGCUGGAAUCAUUGAGGGGAACUAAUCAGUAGCAACGUCUCUGGACGUGGAUGUCAGGAGUGAAGGUCCUGAAAGGAAUUAGUAGAACACCAUAGGAAAGAAACAAUUUAAUUAUGGAUAUGAAUAAAUUGAUGUCCACAUGUCAGAUGACCGGACCAGGAUUUGGUCUUUCUGUGUUUCUCUUGGCUCUGAUUGUUAUUUUUCAAUCCACCACAGCCCAGAACUACACUACGCUUCCAAAUAAUGCAUCAGUGGCCAUUGGUCAGCCUGCUGCUUUCCAGUGUGGUGUGUUCAAUUCUACUGGACAACUUAACUUCACCCUCUACGGCAGCCAUGAAAACAAAACCCUUAUCUGCCCGGGAGACCACACUGAGUACCUGGCUCUUCAGACAAUAAAAGGUUACUGCAACAAAACGGGCAAUAAGUAUUUUGCAACCUGGCUUAUAACUGUGACAUCCAACUCAGACAACAACACACGAGUGGUAUGCAAGAGCUCAGGGCAACCAGAAGUAGAUGGAUACCUCUCAGUGUAUGCGAAUGUCAGUAACUUUGCCAUCCUUAUUGGCUGCGUUAUUGGAGGUUUCUUCAGUAUUCUCAUCUUCUUUGGCCUGUUAUAUGUUGUUUUCAGGAGAUCUGAGAGUUUCCAACACUGUUUUAGGGGAAAAGACUGCGAGGAUGUCACCACAAUGGUGACAAAGGAUUAAACACAAACCUUUCAAUAAUGUUGCAUUAUUGUGCUUUUUGUAAUUAUAUUCACAAUGUUGUUUUUAAUUUCUUACUGUUUUCAUUCAGGCAUUAGCUAACAUUAAGUUUAAUCGCCUGACAGAAAAGUUUAUUACAUGAAAUUACGAUAGGCCUAAAAAAAAAAAAAAGAAAUCUCUUCUCAAAUUCUGUUUUUUCCCCAAGAAGUAACAAAAAACACUUGCCCAACUUUUUCUAAUUUUAAAAAAUAUUACUUGGGAACAAAAAGAUUUUAAACUUUCAUAGCAAGGAACAAAUUCACACCCCCAGAUGAUAAGUAGAGAAUAGAUUAUACACAUGCCAAUGUACUGUAGAGGAGAAACAUGGUUUUGCAAAGCCAAGAUUUGCCUUGAAGCAGAGUGUGAAUUAUAUAAUGACAAUUGGGAGAGGGUUAACUUUUUCUCCAUGGUGUAAAGGGAAUCCAGUAGUCCAGUAGCAGUGCACGCUACGUCGCAUGUUUGAUGUUUCUGACUGGUUUGAAUUUGCUGUUCAGAGUGCCUGCACAGCAAAUAUAAUUUCCCUGACCCACGCCUGUUACUUGGGUUGUGGUUUUUACUUUCGUUAGUUAUAGAGCCAUCACGGAAUAGGGAUAUUUUACGAAUACUCACUUUUAAUAAAUUGGUCUGAUUGAGAGGCAUGUUCAGAACAAUUUAUUGUAUAGUUUGAUUGACAAUUUGAGACAUAGCUGGAAUUUUGAGUUGUAAGCUUUGGCUUAAAAUAGAAAAAGGAAGGGGAAGAUUUGCGAUUUCAAUGAUUUUAAAUGCAGCCCUACACUUCAGCUGCACUUCUUAUAUUGCUCUUAGAGUAAUUAUUCAAAAAAUCAUAUAUAUAUAUAUAUUUUUUUUUACAAAAAAGUAAUAUAAAAGAUCUGGGCUUAUUCAGAAAAGACCUGCGACUAUAGCCCCAGACGCCCAGGCCUAAUGACGCCAAUGAUGCGGAGUUCCACAGGGAUCAGUUCUCGGACCGCUUCUGUUCAAUCUCUAUAUGCUACCUCUGGGCCAAAUUCUACAGAACAACAACAUUAACUAUGCCGAUGUUACUCAUACUCAUAUAUAUGGCUCUCGAACCGUAUUACAACAGCUCAAUAGACUGUGUCACCGU